Molecule: transfer RNA, 74 nt
Filed under: Aeromonas phage Ahp1_CNU-2021
Lineage: Duplodnaviria; Heunggongvirae; Uroviricota; Caudoviricetes; Pantevenvirales; Straboviridae
Rfam family: tRNA
About the family: Transfer RNA (tRNA) molecules are approximately 80 nucleotides in length.
Source: Rfam by way of RNAcentral
ACGCCUUUAGCUCAAUUGGAUAGAGCAAUCGGCUUUUAACCGAUAGGUUCUGGGAUCAUGCCCCAGAGGGCGUA